UGAGAGUAAGAGUACCAAAGGUGAAAUUGCUAAUUUAGUCAUACUCAUUUGGUUGAAAAACAAGUUGUUAUGGGCUGAGAAAUUUGAUUUCAUUGUCUGUAGUGACAAUGAUCAUGCAAAAGUUCUUACGGUUUUAUCCUUACUAUUUACUUGUGAAAAGAUGAAAUACUUUAAGUUUGAAUUGUGUUCGGAUAGCAAAAAUAUAUGUGGU
Molecule: long non-coding RNA, 211 nt
Filed under: Oryza brachyantha (malo sina)
Lineage: Eukaryota; Viridiplantae; Streptophyta; Magnoliopsida; Poales; Poaceae
Description: long non-coding RNA (OBRA_LNC000538)
Source: RNAcentral